Molecule: ribosomal RNA, 497 nt
Filed under: uncultured bacterium
Lineage: Bacteria
Description: partial 16S ribosomal RNA
Rfam family: Bacterial small subunit ribosomal RNA
Source: RNAcentral
GAUGAACGCUGGCGGCGUGCCUAAUACAUGCAAGUCGAGCGGACGGACGAGAAGCUUGCUUCUCUGAUGUUAGCGGCGGACGGGUGAGUAACACGUGGAUAACCUACCUAUAAGACUGGGAUAACUUCGGGAAACCGGAGAUAAUACCGGAGAAUAUUCUGAACCGCAUGGUUGAAAGGUGAAAGACGGUCUUGCGGUCACUUAUAGCUGGAUCCGAGCUGCAUGAGCUAGUUGGUACGGUAACGGCUUACCACGGCAAGGAUGCAUAUCCGACCUGAGAGGGUGGUCGGCCACCCGGGAACGGAGCCACGGUCCAGACUACUGCGGGAGGCAGCAGUCGGGAAUCUUACGCAAUGGGCGAGAGCCUGACGGAGCAACGCCGCGUGAGUGAUGAAGGUGCUCCGUUCGUAAUACUCUGUUAUUGGUGGAAAACCUAUGUGUAAGUAACUGUGCAGAUCUUGACGGUACCUAAUAAGAAAGCCCCGGCUAACUACGUG